AAUUCUGGAAAGCUUUUUGAAAGCACCGAAGGAGCAAUAUCUCAAUGAUAGAAUCUCUCAGGUAAAAAUACAGGAUA
RNAcentral lists this non-coding RNA (77 nucleotides) under Vallitalea guaymasensis. Its description in RNAcentral is "Glycine riboswitch". It matches the Rfam family "Glycine riboswitch aptamer", at positions 8 to 87 of the family's 94-position model. Rfam says of the family: This family represents the bacterial glycine riboswitch. Glycine riboswitches usually consist of two metabolite-binding aptamers domains with similar structures in tandem. The record is from RNAcentral. Lineage: Bacteria; Bacillati; Bacillota; Clostridia; Lachnospirales; Vallitaleaceae.